This 2571-nucleotide ribosomal RNA is filed under the name human gut metagenome. RNAcentral describes it as "bacterial LSU rRNA". It matches the Rfam family "Bacterial large subunit ribosomal RNA", at positions 1 to 2579 of the family's 2925-position model. The record is from RNAcentral.
GGAAGUAAUUCGAGGGCGCAUGGCGGAUGCCUUGGCUCGCGGAGGCGAUGAAGGACGUGACAAGCUGCGAUAAUCCGCGGGUAGGCGCAAGUGGCCUUUGAUCCGCGGGUCUCCGAAUGGGACAACCCACCGGCUUUGCCGGUAUCCCCGUUUUUUUUGUCGGGGAGGCGAACGCGGGGAACUGAAACAUCUUAGUACCCGCAGGAAGAGAAAAUAAUCCAAUGAUUCCCCGAGUAGUGGCGAGCGAAAGGGGAGUAGCCCAAACCGGGGGCCGUCUUCGGGCGUCCCCGGGGUUGUAGGACCGCGCUUGCGGCGGGAGGGGGACGAGGCGAGGCCGCCUGGAAAGCGGCGCCGCAGAGGGUGAGAGCCCCGUAGCCGAAGUUCCCCUUCCCCGCGCGGCAUCCUGAGUAGGGCGGGACACGUGUAAUCCCGCCUGAAUCCGCCGGGACCAUCCGGCAAGGCUAAACACUCCCGCGAGACCGAUAGCGUACCAGUACCGUGAGGGAAAGGUGAAAAGCACUCCGCCGAGGAGGUUGAAACAGAUCCUGAAACCAUGCGCCCGCAAGCGGUCGGAGCGCGCCUUGUGCGCGUGACGGCGUGCCUUUUGCAUAAUGAGCCUACGAGUUGCCCCCGCCGGCGAGGAUAAGCGCGACGACGCGCGCAUCCGCAGUGAGAGCGAGCCUGAAUAGGGCGUUGAGUCGGCGUGGGCAGACGCGAAACCAGGUGAUCUACACUUGGCCAGGGUGAAGUCCCGGUAACACGUGAUGGAGGCCCGAACCAAUAAGCGUUGAAAAGCUUCUGGAUGAGCCGAGUGUAGGAGUGAAAGGCCAAUCAAACCUGGAGAUAGCUCGUACUCCCCGAAAGGCAUUUAGGUGCCGCGUGGGGCGUUCGCCGCGAGAGGUAGAGCGACCGAUAGGUCGAGAGGGCUUCGCCGCCUAUCGAGACCUGACGAACUCCGAAUGCUCGCGGCCCAGAGCCCCGCAGUAAGGGGGCGGGUGCUAAGGUCCGUCCCCGAGAGGAGAAGAAUCCAGACCGCCGGCUAAGGCCCCGAAGUCCCGCCUGAGUUAGUCUAACGAAGUCCGGUCCCCAUGACAGCUAGGAUGUUGGCUUGGAAGCAGCCAUUCAUUCAAAGAGUGCGUAACAGCUCACUAGUCGAGGGUCUGGGCGUGGAUAAUAAUCGGGUAUAAGGCGGGCGCCGAAGCCGCGGGGUGCGCCUUGCGCACCGGUAGGGGAGCAUUCCGCGCUGCGUCGAAUGCCGGGGGGCGACCCCGGCUGGAGCGCGCGGAAAGGCAAAUGUAGGCAUGAGUAACGAGAAGGGGGGUGCGAUUCCCCCCCGCCGCAAGACCAAGGUUUCCCGGGCUAUGCCAAUCAGCCCGGGGUCAGUCGGGUCCUAAGCCUAAGCCGAGAGGCGACGGCGAUGGCAUGACGGUCAACAUUCCGUCACUGCCGCGUGGGGCGACGCGGGGAAGGAGAGGUGGCACGGCCGCGGGGCGACGGAAGUCCCCGUUGAAGGGCGUACCCGUUGAGAUGCCCAGGCAAGUCCGGGCGUCGAGGGGAACCUGAGAGUACGCCUGGCCCUCCGGGGCCGGGCGAUAGCGCCGGUAAUCUUGCUCCCGAGAAAAUCCGCUAAGCUUCACCCGCGCGGCACCCGUACCUCAAACGGACACACGUGGUCGGGUAGAGCAUACUGAGGCGUUGAGAGACUCAUGGCCAAGGAACUAGGCAAACUGGCCCCGUAACUUAGGGAUAAGGGGUCCUCCUUUUUGGGAGGCGCAGAGAAUAGGUCCAGGCAACUGUUUAACAAAAACACAGGGCUGUGCGAACUCGUGAGAUGAUGUAUACAGCCUGACACCUGCCCGGUGCCGGAAGGUUAAGAGGAGGGGUCACCCUUUCGGGGGGAAGCCCUGAGUUGAAGCCCCGGUAAACGGCGGCCGUAACUAUAACGGUCCUAAGGUAGCGAAAUUCCUUGUCGGGUAAGUUCCGACCUGCACGAAUGGUGUAAUGAUCCGGACGCUGUCUCGACCAUGAUCUCAGUGAAAUUGUAGUAUCGGUGAAGAUGCCGAUUACCCGCGAUGGGACGAAAAGACCCCGUGAACCUUUACUACAGCUUAGCGUUGGGCUUGGUCAUCCGACGUGUAGGAUAGGCCGGAGGCUAUGAAGGGGGCGCGCCAGCGUCCGCGGAGCCGCCGUUGAAAUACGGCCCUUUGGCUGUCCGGGCUCUAACGCGCUUUUUCGGCGCGGACACCGCUUGGCGGGUAGUUUGACUGGGGUGGUCGCCUCCAAAAGCGUAACGGAGGCUUCCAAAGGUGCCCUCGGGCCGAUUGGUAACCGGCCUUUGGAGUGCAAUGGCAUAAGGGCGCUUGACUGGGAGGGAGACAUCCCGAGCAGGCAGGAAACUGGGGCAUAGUGAUCCGGCGGACGUGCGUGGAAACUCCGUCGCUCAAAGGAUAAAAGGUACUCCGGGGAUAACAGGCUGAUCCCCCCCAAGAGCUCAUAUCGACGGGGUGGUUUGGCACCUCGAUGUCGGCUCGUCACAUCCUGGGGCUGGAGAAGGUCCCAAGGGUUGGGCUG